CCUUCGGGAGAGCGCUUACCACUUUGUGAUUCAUGACUGGGGUGAAGUCGUAACAAGGUAACCGUAGGGGAACCUGCGGUUGGAUCACCUCCUUA
Molecule: ribosomal RNA, 95 nt
Filed under: Escherichia coli
Lineage: Bacteria; Pseudomonadati; Pseudomonadota; Gammaproteobacteria; Enterobacterales; Enterobacteriaceae
Description: partial 16S ribosomal RNA
Rfam family: Bacterial small subunit ribosomal RNA
Source: RNAcentral